AUAGUUGGAGGAGUGGUUCCUA
This 22-nucleotide non-coding RNA is filed under the name Arabidopsis thaliana (thale cress). The record is from RNAcentral. Lineage: Eukaryota; Viridiplantae; Streptophyta; Magnoliopsida; Brassicales; Brassicaceae.